This is a long non-coding RNA of Poecilia reticulata (guppy), 1453 nucleotides long. RefSeq lists it as uncharacterized. The record is from RefSeq and is a predicted model, not a curated record. NCBI's taxonomy places the organism in Eukaryota, Metazoa, Chordata, Actinopteri, Cyprinodontiformes, Poeciliidae.
AUGAGGAGGGGUGGGUGUAAAGUCCAUCCUUCUCUGUGAGUAGAGGACGUGCUCUGAAAUCCAAAACAAGUUCCCUCGGUUCUUUUGUUGCACGCACGAACUGAGGGAGCAUUGUUCGGACCCCACUCCCCUUUCCUCUCCCACUCCCCUUUCCUCUCCCCCCCCCCCCCCCCCUAUGACCAGGUUGCGAUCUGAGCCUCGCAGUCGGGGUGGUAAUGAAUUUGCUGCGGACGCUCCUCUAACACGCUUUGACAAACGGAACGCAUUUAUUGCGGGUUUUGCAGACAAAAUAUGGGGGAAUAAUUUUGCAACGUGCAAUCCCCCCCCCCAAAAAAAAAACAAAAAAACAUUCUAAGUCUGUGACUAAAGUCAAAAGUAGAAAAGAAAGAAAAUUGGGAAAGACACACUUUGACUUAAGUGUACCAGAAGUCACACUGCUGCAAGUGUCCUAAUGGGAAGGAUAACCAGAGUCCAGAAAUUGGACACACACUCAUACACACAGUUUGAGGAAAGAGUAGAAAUUUUAAAAGCAAUUUUCACUCAACAAAAGUUCAAAUGAGGUCAGUGCAAUAGAUUGUCCUUCUGUCGAUGUUUAUCUUUAUAGAAAAAACAUGUUUACUUUCAUUUUUUUUAUUUCUAAUACACCUUAUCCCGAGCUUCCUUGCAAAAUAUAAUUAGUUAAAUCCUCACAUUUUAUCCUGUAAAAUACCCAUGUAAAUAAUAAUAAUAAUAAUAAUAAUAAUAAUAAUAAUGAAUACCAAAACAAAGAGCAAAUAUUCUCUCAUUUUUCCCCUCCCCCCCCUCUUUUUUUGCCUAAUUGCAGGCGUAUCCAUUAGCAUCCGCCGCCUGGAUUCACGUUUUAGUUAAACUGCGAGGGCACGUUCAGUGACGUAGACGAGCAUAUCAGCUGCGUGCAGCCAUAUUUAAAUACAUCAAGGCAAUUAGCCCAUCAAAAUAUGCAAAUCCCCCUCCUUACUACAUUGGCAGUGCAGCCCGGCCGCAGUCGGAGGAUAAUUUGUACACCCACUGCAGGGUGCGUGUGUUUUUUAAUGACUGCCGUUUUAAAAGAGCGACUACUGCGUUUGUUUUGUUCCAACAAGAAGGCAUAUAACGCGAGCGGGACAGAAAGAGGAAGGCAAGAAGAAGAGGAGAAGAAGUGGAACCGGGAGAUUGCUGCUGCUGCUGCUGCUGCUGCGUGGAAAAAACGCCCAUGCGUAAUGAGACCAUCCUCGCCGACUAUUCUAUCUAAAUUCCUCGACGCCGUUGGCUCUGGUUUCUUGGAAACAUGCAACGCCUCUGGAGGAUGGAGAUGACGACCAUGACGAUUAAACACGGUCGGCGUCGACGAAAUUGACUAAAUGGUGAAUGGUGACAUCUAGUGGUAAACUUGGAGAAUGCGCACUGUGGAGGAAGAAUAGUGGUUACCAGCUUCCACGACUCGUGCAGCUUGAAA